GUGCUUGCUUCAGCAGCACAUACAAUAAAUUUGGAGCGAUGCAGAGAAGAUUAGCAUGGCCCCUGCGCAAGGAUGACACGAAAAUUCGUGAAGUGUUCCAUAUUUUU
This is a small nuclear RNA of Meriones unguiculatus (Mongolian gerbil), 107 nucleotides long. Lineage: Eukaryota; Metazoa; Chordata; Mammalia; Rodentia; Muridae. The record is from Ensembl.